CUGUCUUCUUCUCCUCAACCCACGGGUACACCACGUGUGUGUUUCUUAACAACAUGAGAGAAAGAUUAAGACCCAGAUUUUGACACGGUGAAUCACCUGACUAGCGAGAUACCACCGGCGGCCUCAGAUGGCAAUGACAACGACGAACUCAUUUCAAGACGACACAGCAGGAGAUGCAAGAAACAGAAGCUCAUGUCCGUGGUUUUGCAGAAUGGGGAGAUGCAAGACAAGAAACAGAAGCUGAUGCCCGUGGUUUUGCAUAGUGGGGGAGAUGUCAAAAUCAAUCAACGGUGUAAAAAACUUUUUUUAUAUGGAUUUUGUUGUUUUACAAAAUCUAAAUAAAUCUUGCCUUAUGAAUUUUGUUUUAUACAGCAUAAGCUUGCAAGUAAUUGGUUGAAUAGCCCCACAUAGCAUUGUAUGAAUUAAAUGUACCCUUUAAUUCAUGAGUUUUUUGUUUCUUUUUAUUCCUAAUGCAGAUGUGUUAAUCUUUCAUACCUGAUCAUAUGCACGUAAUUGUAUAAUUAAUUAAUCAUUACAUUUUUCUAUGAUUUUAAAAAUUAUACUAAUAAUCUGUUGGAUUGUUGUCUUUUAGGUUGCAUGCUGGUUGUCGAUUUUUGUGAUAACAUCGCCUGUUGCUUUAAUCUGAAGGCUUGAAGGCUGCUGCUGGUGGGUUGCUGGGAUUUAUGAAUUAUGACAGCUGGACUUAUUCACGUAUUCUCACAAGCUGGUACCUCUUGACUGACCUCUGCUGGUAAAUCAUGAAAAGGUUCCCAACAGCGCCAAUGAGGUUCCAAAAACGCUGAGAACUCCAGCAGGGGAGGCAUACUGUUUUCGGUGACCUUUCGACGUCAUCAGAAACAAUGGGGAUGAGGCGCCGACGAACAAGCCAUCAAAUUUGUUUCAGCCAUCAAUGUGGACUAGAACACUGUUAAACACAAACGCAAGCUCGAUUAGGGAGAUGCUGACGCAUGUUGAAAGUCCCGGCUCUACAAAAAGAGGUAAAAAAGCAAUGUCUUAUCGCCUUGGCGGUGGUUUGUAGGCUGUGGAUAUCAAGAAAUGACCGUGUGUUCAAACAAAAAUCGACAGAGGUGAGAAGUUUGGAGGGAGGAGUGAAAGAAUUUUGAGUUUUUAGUGGCUAAUGCAAUGUUUUGUUUCACUCUUUUUUAUACUUUUCAGCUUCUUUUCGUCUUGCAGGUGCUUUUGAAUGAAUUGUUAG
Molecule: long non-coding RNA, 1216 nt
Filed under: Helianthus annuus (common sunflower)
Lineage: Eukaryota; Viridiplantae; Streptophyta; Magnoliopsida; Asterales; Asteraceae
Source: RNAcentral